This is a small nucleolar RNA of Ornithorhynchus anatinus (platypus), 138 nucleotides long. The record is from RefSeq and is a predicted model, not a curated record. Lineage: Eukaryota; Metazoa; Chordata; Mammalia; Monotremata; Ornithorhynchidae.
CCACUCUCAGGGUCGCACCUGGAGAGUAUCCACUACUCCACCAGUCUCGACUAUGGGAGGGAGAGUCAAGCAGAAUCAUACCAGUUCCAUUCCUAGCUUGGGCAGUGGCUAGCGAAUGGAAGGUAAUCUGCUACAAGU